UACGUGAAACCGUCUAGAGGCAAACGGAGAGGACCGUAUGGUCCGCCCGUCGGAUUCAGUCCGCCUGCCAGGCUUCGUCGUCGUGCGCGCAUCCCUCUCGGGAGCGUGCCGGCGUUUGUAGGCCUGGCGGCGGCCGUACUUUCGGCGGGCGGAGCGCCACGACCGGUUCGCGGGCGGCGAGAAACUCCCGGGCAAGGUGACCGCGGCCUCGGUCGCGGAGCAUACAGGCCCGGGCAGCGUCGGCCCGUCUGCGGACCGAGGAAGUCUAUAACGCGGCCGCGUGCCGACCGCCUUUCGUGCGGGUGCGUUCGA
Molecule: ribosomal RNA, 312 nt
Filed under: Criodrilidae sp. GPKS-2012
Lineage: Eukaryota; Metazoa; Annelida; Clitellata; Crassiclitellata; Criodrilidae
Description: partial 28S ribosomal RNA
Source: RNAcentral